Long non-coding RNA from Eriocheir sinensis (Chinese mitten crab), 1991 nucleotides. RefSeq lists it as uncharacterized. The transcript has 4 exons. The record is from RefSeq and is a predicted model, not a curated record. Lineage: Eukaryota; Metazoa; Arthropoda; Malacostraca; Decapoda; Varunidae.
UCCGACUGAAACAUUUCCCACAAACUUCACACUCAUGAUUUCUUUCACCAGUGUGUGUAAGAGUGUGUAAUUUGAGGGUACCCUUCUGACUGAAACAUUUCCCACAAACUUCACACUCAUGAUUUCUUUCACCAGUGUGUGUAAGAGUGUGUAAUUUGAGGUUACCCUUGUGACUGAAACAUUUCCCACAAACUUCACACUCAUGAUUUCUUUCACCAGUGUGUGUAAGAGUGUGUAAUUUGAGGGUACCCUUCUGACUGAAACAUUUCCCACAAACUUCACACUCAUGAUUUCUUUCACCAGUGUGUGUAAGAGUGUGUAAUUUGAGGGUACCCUUGUGACUGAAACAUUUCCCACAAACUUCACACUCAUGAUUUCUUUCACCAGUGUGUGUAAGAGUGUGUAAUUUGAGGUUACCCUUCUGACUGAAACAUUUUCCACAAACUUCACACUCAUGCUUUCUUUCACCAGUGUGUGUAAGAGUGUGUAAUUUGAGGGUACCCUUCCGACUGAAACAUUUCCCACAAACUUCACACUCAUGAUUUCUUUCACCAGUGUGUGUAAGAGUGUGUAAUUUGAGGUUACUCUUCUUAAUGAAACAUUUCCCACAAACUUCACACUGAUGAUUUCUUGCAUCAGUGUGUGUAAGAGUGUGUAAUUUGAGGUUAUCCUUCCGACUGAAACAUUUCCCACAAACUUCACACUCAUGAUUUCUUUCACCAGUGUGUGUAAGAGUGUGUAAUUUGAGGUCACCCUUCUGACUGAAACAUUUACCACAAACUUCACACUCAUGCUUUCUUUCACCAGUGUGUGUAAGGGUGUGUUUCUUGAGGAUACCCUUCCGACUGAAACAUUUUCCACAAACUUCACACCUAUAAUUUCUUUCACCAGUGUGUGUAAGAGUGUGUAAUUUGAGGGUACCCUUGUGACUGAAACAUUUUCCACAAACUUCACACCUAUAAUUUCUUUCACCAGUGUGUGUAAGAGUGUGUAAUUUGAGGGUACCCUUCCGACUGAAACAUUUUCCACAAACUUCACACUCAUGAUUUCUUUCACCAGUGUGUGUAAGAGUGUGUAAUUUGAGGGUACCCUUCUGACUGAAACAUUUCCCACAAACUUCACACUCAUGAUUUCUUUCACCACUGUGUGUAAGGGUGUGUUUCUUGAGGGUACCCUUCUGACUGAAACAUUUCCCACAAACUUCACACUCAUGAUUUCUUUCACCACUGUGUGUAAGGGUGUGUUUCUUGAGGGUACCCUUCUGACUGAAACAUUUCCCACAAACUUCACACUCAUGAUUUCUUGCACUGAUGUGUGUAAGGGUGUGUGUGUUGAGGUGACCCCUCUGACUGAAACAUUUCCCACAAACUUCACACUCAUGGUUUCUUGCACCAGUGUGUGUAAGGGUGUGAUGUUUGGGGUUACUCCUAUUACUAAACCUUUUGCCACACUCCCGACUUUCAUGAGGUCUUACACCAGAGUGUGUGGGUGUAUUUGUUGAGGUCAUCCUUCCCUGCAUGUCUUUUCUCACACUCUUGGCUUUGGUCAGUAAACUUGCUCUCAUUCUCAGAUCUUCUCACACUUCUGAAAUUCAAACUUCCCCCUUUGUGGAUGAAGAGGCCAGCAGUUGUUGUUGUUGGUGGUGGUUGUGUUGGUGGUGUUUUUUAUCACUCCUGAACCUCACACCAGUAGCAGUCUGCUCCUGCUGAUCCCAGCCACUCCAGCUGCUGUCCCGCCUUGCAGCCUCCACUGCAACACUACUCUGGAUGUGAGGAGUUGGCUGGCCUUGAGGAACCUCAGAGAUGCUGGAGAAGGCGGCGAGGUUGCUUCAAAGCCACACUCAGUGACCAAUUGAGCAGGCAAGGCGAGGGAUGCACCAAGGAGUCCUGAAGUCAGCGGCAGCAGGGACGGAACAAGUACUGACCACAGCAACUGUCUCGAUGCCUCACUUCAACACUAACACCAGUGGUGGACAUUGGGACACAAAGUCA